UACAUGGGGUGCAAACGUUGUUCGGAAUCAUUGGGCGUAAAGCGCACGUAGGCGGUUUGUUAUGUCGGAUGUGAAAGCCCUUGGCUCAACUGAGGAAGUGCAUCCGAAACUGGCAAGCUAGAGUACUAAAGAGGAUCGCGGAAUUCCCGGUGUAGAGGUGAAAUUCGUAGAUAUCGGGAGGAACACCGGUGGCGAAGGCGGCGAUCUGGGUAGAUACUGACGCUGAGGUGCGAAAGCGUGGGGAGCAAACAGG
Molecule: ribosomal RNA, 253 nt
Filed under: uncultured bacterium
Lineage: Bacteria
Description: partial 16S ribosomal RNA
Rfam family: Bacterial small subunit ribosomal RNA
Source: RNAcentral